GCCGCGGUGGCGGAAUUGGCAGACGCAUACGACUCAAAAUCGUACGGGAGCAAUCCCAUGAGAGUUCGAUUCUCUCCCGCGGCACCA
This 87-nucleotide transfer RNA is filed under the name bacterium. RNAcentral's name for it is "tRNA-Leu". It matches the Rfam family "tRNA". Rfam says of the family: Transfer RNA (tRNA) molecules are approximately 80 nucleotides in length. The record is from RNAcentral.